Molecule: long non-coding RNA, 1493 nt
Organism: Fundulus heteroclitus (mummichog)
Lineage: Eukaryota; Metazoa; Chordata; Actinopteri; Cyprinodontiformes; Fundulidae
Exons: 2
Source: RefSeq, a predicted model, not a curated record
UGCAUGGAUUAGUUUUUCCAUAACCUGCUGAGACAUCAGUCCUUUAAUCAUGAGAAUGCUCUUCAGGUGAUAGAAGGCAGGACAACUGGUGAGGAAAUGUUUAAGCUAGUUGAUGCUUUUCUGACUGAAGUGAGACUGAGCUGGAAAAAUGUCUCUCUGUUUGUACGGAUGGCUCAGCAGUGAUGACCGGCCCAAAGAGUGGAGUUGAAGCGUGGAUAAAAUCCAUCAAUCCAUGCGUUAUAGCUACCCACUGUGUCCUGCAUCAGCAGGCACUAGCUUCCAGAGACAUGGAACCAGAUCUUCUGUUCUGAACACAGCUAUCACUGCAGUUAACUUUGUGAAAUCCAGAGCUUUGAAAUCACGGCUGUUUGGUCAACUUUGCCCAAAUCUGGAAGCUGAACAUGACACACUGCUCUAUCACUGAGGUGUGAUGGUUGUCUCAUGGGAAAGUGUUGCAGAGUUUUUUAGCUACACAGAGAAAUGGCUGAAUUUAUGAGAGGAAAAAAAUGGACAUUGUACAUUUCUUUCAUGAUCCAGACUGCAUUGCCAAGUUAGCCUAUCUUGCAGACAUAUUCAACAUAUUGAACAGCCUCAACUUCUCCGUCCAAGGAAGCUACACAUCUAUCCUUAAAGUUAGUGACAAAAUCACCACCUUUUAUGAAGAAGAAGAAGAAGAAUAAAAGAUGGAAUAACAGACAUGUUCCCCAACUGACUGACUUUUUAAACAAUGAGAAGCUGUCUGUUGCUAUUGUGAGGGAUGUUGUGACUUCAUACCUAACAUCACUGUGUGAGAACUUCAGCUCAUAUUUCUCUGAUGUGAACACUGAUGCCUGGGACUGGGUGCUGAUCCAUUUUCACCUGAUGCAACAAGAAAUGGCUUAAGAGGUAAAACAGAAGAACAGCUCUUGGAGUUAUCUUGUGACAGAACAUUGAAGGCCAGAUUCCAACAGGAAAAUCAUGCAAACUUUUGGGCCUCCCUCUCACAUGAGUUUCCUGAACUGACUGCUGAGGACAUGAAAAUAUUGCUGCUGUUUUGUUAGAAUUAUUUUUAUUAUUCUCUACAUGUUUAUUUUUAUUUACCAUGUUUAUGGCAUUUAUCACAUAUUUACUCAUUACUAUUAAAAAGGUUUUAAGAUUUGAGUUUAUUCAGACAAAGUGUUUUUCAAAUGACUAAUAUCUCUCAUGUAUUAUUGUUUAUUAUUGUGAUUUAUUUACUGGAACAUAUACCAUGCUUCAUCUUACCUCAUACUAUGUUUUUCAACUGUCUCUCUUAUCAUUGCAGAAGGCCUGCAGAGAUAUAACUCUUUUUCCAAGACCUGAACUGAACUGUGUGAAUGGCGUUGUAUUAUCUUGAAUGUCACAUCAUAAAUGGUUUCUAAUUAGGGACCUCCCUGAACACAAUAAAGAGAGAGGAAGCACAGGGUGUGUUUUCAGAGCAGUAAGGAGUUGUAACUGAGCACAUCUCUGCUGUUGUCCUCUCAAAUAAAACCAAA